UAUGUGCAAACAUAAAAGUAGUCUUUCCCUCCCUUUCUUCUCAACUUAGAGGAAUAUUCUAAUUAGUUCUUGCAGGCAGGAGAAGAAGGGGAAGAAAUUUGGAACAAGGGAAAUGUGUUACUGUUGACUUUGCAGUAGCCCUGUCAGAAAAAUGUACUUUUAAUACAUACCAUUUGGAAGCAAAGCCCCUUUUAAAAUGCUUCAGAACUCAUGUCCUUUUUAAUUGCCUGGAAUUCAUGGUGGCUGUGUGAGAAAGCCAUAAACAUAUACAAUCAUAAAAACACAUUUAGACAACCCAAACAGAAUCAGUGCCAUAUUAUUUUAGUUUAUUAUUCCUAGUGGAGUACAGAUUGGUCUUCCUACUUUGAUAUUUAUUUAUACCAAAGAACUACAAGAACAUAAAUGCCACUCUUGGGAUAAUCCUAAUGCUGGGGCUGAACAGAAUACACAUUGCAUCUGUCUCAUUUGCAGUAAAGUGAAGGCGUGUUUAGGUGUAGUCCUGCUAAUGAAGGACAAAGUUGAAGGUCAAAUGUAGCCUUCAAAAUGAAUGUGUCAUCAUGACGCUGAGAGAAAUGCAUUAUGAAGUUUUCUUAAAAUAUCAAAUAAUGAAGAAAGGGAAAAGGAAAAUGUAGCUCUUUGGUUUUAUUAUUCCUUUUUCUUUGAAGCCACUUAAGGAUUCUGCUCAAGACUUUAGUGCUCAUAUGAAAAAUUAAUGAUGGGUUUUUGCUAGACAGAAAGCCUUCUUAUUUUGCACAUGAUUAACAAAGAAAACUCAAUGCAGAAGUGAGAUACACAGCAGGGGGUGGUUCUCUCGAAGGCCAGCUCACAGCUUCACACCAGAACAUUUAUUGACAUGGGAAAAUACUCACUUUUAUCCAAAGACAGUUGAACAGAUAGGAUAUGUGCAGGGCUGUACAUAAGAAUAACAAGGAACAGAUAGUCAACAAAGGAAAAUGUCAACCAAAAUAAACAAACAGCCUAGCAGCGGGCUGACCCUGCACCAUGCCUGUGGGCUGUUUUGAGUCUACUGCAGUGCCAAGUGCAAUGUUAGUGCUCACUAGUUGUUGUCAGGAAGUAGGUUAUCAGCUGAAAGGCUGGAGGGUGGCUUCAGACACUCUCCCCAUAGCAGAAGAAAAGCCAAGGAAGUGUAGGCAGAAUGUAUAAGCCAGAUCUGCAUGCUGUUCACAUGCUAUAUUGGUUUGAUGCUCCUCACCUACAGAGAUCUCUUUCUGGGGGGCUGGGGUAUUUUUCUCACAGGUUUUUUCACACGUAACAUCACAGCAUAAUGCCAUGUGAGCUUGUCCAACUCUAAGCAGCCUGGUUUAACUCUGUUGUUCCUGUCUAUUCCUUUCAAUUUUUAAACCUUCUUUUUUUUUGUCCAGUCAGCUAACUUGGCGUAUCUUCUGGGGAUUCAGAAGGGCCAUCAGCUACCAGCACCCACAGGAGGAAAACCAGCCAAACAAAGGUAUAAUUUUUGCAAGUUUUAGUGGAAGUGCAGUGAGCUUUAUUUCUUUCAUUCAUUACUGGUAUAUAUUCAUGAUUUUCUCCCUAGUAAAGGAGGACCUUAUAAAUAUUUGUUAAAUACAUUGAUGCACUACAAUGAGUUGACUGGAGUUAUGAACCUUGGGUCAGACUUAGGGUUUCAGACAUCAAACAGGAAUAAAACAGUUUUCACCCUGGGUGAACUGGUCCAGAAAGCUUUUUUCCCUUUUCUUGUUAUGCAAGCAAAUGGAAUAUGGUCCCCUAAAAUACUAUAAUCAUGAACUACAAGCUAUGUUUAUCUAUAGGCUCAAAAAGGAAUUGUGAGCCUUGAAAGUGGCAUGUAUAAGUAUAUAUGAAAGGUGCCAAAUUAGCAUCAAAUAAACAAAAGUGAUGUUCCAGAAAGCUGAAUUCAUUAAAGCUUCAUUCCUUGUAGCAAUAACAGAAGUUUUCCAUGCUAUCUGGAGCACCCCUGGCUUUUGAGAAAAGGAGAUGUGGUGAAAGUUAGAGUUGGUAAGAACUGCAGAAGGAGGCAAGUGCAAAUGCAGCUUCAGAAAUGAACAAAAACAUCAAAAUCCGCAGAUUGUUAAGUAAAUUCAAGACUGAGAGAGGAUAAAAGAAAAAAAAAGAAAAUGGACCUGGAGCCUGAUAGGUUUUGGAUGAAGCUUUACAAGAGUUGCAAAGGAUGCCGUUGCAAUGCGGACCCAUCUGGACACACGAAACACAGGCUCGACUUGCUGCACAGCUGAAAAUGCAGUAUUUAGAGGUGGGAAUGUUCUGCGUGGCCCAAGCAUUAUUAAUGGCACUUUGUUUCAUAGCUUUGUAGUAUUUAAACUAUAUUGUUCCAGUUACUGAAGACAUUUUGUUUUUUGAGAAAUAUCUGUCUUCCCCAAAGUAAAACAUUAUAUUCCCAUUCAGCAUUUCUUUUCUAAGUUGCACUUGACUAUAGUGAUAGGUUUCCUUGAAAAGCCAUCAGUGAAUUUAUGGCACAAAUAGCUAUGUCUCUCCAGACUUUAUUAAUUCAGACAUGCAAAAUCUAAGCAUCUACGUGUUGCGGUUGUUCUGUCUGUUGCGCUGCUGCAAACCGAUAGCAUUUCACCAGAAAAGCUCUCGUGUCUGCAGCUAUCCUAUUUUCUCUCAUGUCACUCAAGCAAACUGCCUUGCAGCUCACCCGCACUGAGGUCGGAGCAGAGCCACAGGAGCUUGUAGAACCCGCUGGGGGCUGUCGUGCCAGGCACCCGCUCAGCCCCUGGGACCUGUGGGUGAGGAUGCGAGCAGAGCUUCCCAGCACUGCUGGGAGCCAAACAGGCUUUUGCCUGAGUGAGUUCUGGGGGAUGGGGCACUCAUUCAGAGGCACAAACUGCCUCAAUACUAAAUGUGUUCAGAAGAUGGAAAUUAGCAAUAUUACAAAUUCAGAAGGCAGCAGACGAGCACGUAACGUAUUGAAUAUGAGCUCACCCCUCUUUUUGACCAGCUGCUCCCAACACAGCAACCCCUCUGACCAAUGCCACUGUAGCCUUUGACCUUAUUCAUCAGAGAUAUUUUGAUGUACUGUGAGCAGUUUGGAACAGCAUCCAUAUGCUCAUUUAUGGGUUAACCCUAUCCUUAUUAGACUUGUACUUUCCAGACCAAAGUCAUGAAGGUUUGGUUGGCACACAGGGUUUUGCCCUCCCUUUCUGCUCCCUCAGCCACUGAAGUGAUCUGAAGUCAUCCUUUUCAACUGAAAUUUUUUAAGUGUUACCUUUAUCUCUAGUUGCCAGUGUCUUUAAGAGCUUAUCCCCAUACCUCUUACUGCCAUCUCUUGCUUCUGGAAAGCAAGGAGGCUUCCACUUCCUGCACCUGUUGCCAGCAUCACUGUGGUUUCCCAGCACUGAAGAACCAGUGUGUACUGAGCAAUACUGAUGUUAUACUGGGGUACCGAUGGGUGUAAGGAUGUGAUUAGUCAAUGCCACAAAGAUUUUGGAGGACAAAACAGAGGAGGAGGGAAGAGUAUUAUUUUCUUUGGCCUUCACCUUCUGCCUUCCCUUGACAUCUGCCCCACACAAUCUGCAGGCAAUCACAGUGAGCACUUCUUUCUCCUGCAGAGGCUCUGCUCCUUUUGGAAAAGGCUUCCACAAGGAUACCAGCUGCAUUAAAAUCUCACUUGGUCCACUUGUUUUUGUUACCAGCCCUACCUGAUUGCCCUACAAAAACAGAGAAGAAUAUUUUCCUUGCUCUCAAGAGUGAAGUCCUCCAUUAUCAUGUCAUGAAAGGAAAUAGACUUCGGUAGCUAAGGAAAAAUGCUGACUUUAAACCUGAGAUAAGGUUCUAUCAUUUACACUAAUGAGCUCACUGGUGGGGAAUUUGUAACAUUUUAUGAUAAAAAGCAGCUAUAGUCAGUAUUUGAUAGAAUACUCUGUUUUUAAAUUUAUUUAUUUAUUUAUUUUUGCUGAAAAUACACAUAACUACUAAUAAUGUUCCCAUCCAAAUCCACAGAGGAGUAAAUGCAGUGAGAAUUGCCCCAGACGAAGUUGAAGUAAUUGGUAAGUAACCCAUUAUUGUAGAGAGUUAUUCACUAACCACAAGUUGAUCUAAAUUCUGCUGGGAGGGCUGUAAACACAUUUGACUAGUUGAAUAAUGAGUUAGUUACUCAGAAGGAGGAGAGCUUAAUUAAAUAUUAAUGUUAGGAUCUUAAUUGCUGAUGACUUAUGGUUAAAAGUUGAGCCUCCAGAUCUGAUAGUCACAUCAUGCCAGAUUUUGUUUUUUGAUGGAAAUGUGCUCUGAGACUGUAUGUCCAGUAAGUGCUAUGAAAAUGCAGAGGUAUCCAAUAGCCUUUUCUGGUAUAUUCUGCCAGAGCACUGAUUAGCAGUAAUGAAAUCUAGUUACUGUAGGUUAGAAAGAAUCAGAAUGGACAAAUCCAGCUGGAGAGACCAACCCUGCUAUGAAACUGGUAUAAGUGGAUGCAAGCAAUAGGGUGACAGUAAGCAGAGGAAAAAGAGAUGUCUUCAGUUGAAGGGCUGGAAAACUCACAGUUUGGCUCCCAUUGUGAGAUGCGAAUAAAAUUCCAGCAAUUUUUCUCUUCCCUCUGAUUUUUUUCCAGCCUACCCCCUGAGUCUGAGAUGUUUAGACUUCAUAAUAUCCCUGGUUCAAUGCCUGGAAAAGCUGGCUAGAACUACAGUACAGUGCAGGGACUUCCUUGCAUUACCACUUGCCCCUGUGCACAGGCAAGAAAUAAGUCCUUACAAAAUUCCAUGUGCUGGUUGUGCCUCUGCAACCUUGUUUAUGGAUAGCUCUGCUUUUGCAGUGAUCUCUUCUCCUGAGGGGCAUGGGUUUGACUCAUCACUUUGAUAGCAAUUUGGGAAUGGGUAUUGGGUUGUAUUAGAAGCACUUAAUCUCAUAGUAGAAAUAGCGAAAAAGUAAAUAAUGAACAUGAAAAGUAGGAUAUGGGUUUGCUACUGUUGAGGAUGAAAGAACAGAUGAAUUGGAAGAAUGUAGUGGAUAGCAGAAAAAGGUUUGGGGAAAAUAAGAGGGAUAGAUGUUCUAUAGGCUUACUGACAUUUUUUUUUAACUCUGUGAGUCCUGUAAGGUGCUGGUAAUACAGUACAGAAAGACAAGCUGACAAAAAGAUUGGUCUGAGAGACUGAGAAAUGGCUGUGAUGCUGGUUUUGCAUGCAGGCAGGUAAUCACAACUACCAUCAUCUUUCAAGAAAACAUGUUUUUCACAAAAAUAUUGUCAAACUUGCAGCUCUUGUGCAUCUCUGUCUUCAUAUGGCUCUUAUUGCUCCAAGAUUUGAAUUUCUUAGUGCAUAAAAGAUUUUAUCUAAUGUCCUUUUCCUGUCUAGCUUCCCUCCGUGCUGUGCCCAUCACUCUGUAUCUAGUACAGAUGAAAUGCUGAAGUACUGCAACUUUUCUGUGAGAGGAGCAGCCACUAGAGGGGAGGAUAUACGCUGUGAAGUCCCCAUCAGAACCCUGUCACUGAGGCUUCCUCAAAGUGUCUGACAAGAAAGACUGGUCAAGCUCCUGAUGCCAGCAUCUUUGCUUGCUUAAGGAAGUUUUUGCACCUAAAAGAAAAGGUGAGUAACUUUCAUGACAUCAGUAAUAC
Coturnix japonica (Japanese quail) is the source of this 5560-nucleotide non-coding RNA. Lineage: Eukaryota; Metazoa; Chordata; Aves; Galliformes; Phasianidae. The record is from RefSeq and is a predicted model, not a curated record.